GGUGUCAUUGAACUUAAUAGAAAAGCUGGUGUAAAUCCAGCACGGUCCCGCCGCUGUAAAGAGGAGCAUGUUGCAAGAUGUCACUGUAUCUCACCGAUAUGGGAAGGCGCAACAUGGCGAUGAAUCUGAGUCAGAAGAACUGCCUGCGUAUA
RNAcentral lists this non-coding RNA (152 nucleotides) under uncultured Caecibacter sp. Lineage: Bacteria; Bacillati; Bacillota; Negativicutes; Veillonellales; Veillonellaceae. The record is from RNAcentral.